UACGGAGGGUGCAAGCGUUGCUCGGAAUUACUGGGCGUAAAGCGUACGCAGGCUGUCCGCUAAGUCGGGUGUGAAAUCCCGGGGCUCAACCCCGGAAUUGCGCCCGAAACUGGCGGGCUUGAGUGCGGGAGAGGGAAGCGGAAUUCCUGGUGUAGAGGUGAAAUUCGUAGAUAUCAGGAGGAACACCGGUGGCGAAAGCGGCUUCCUGGCCCGACACUGACGCUCAUGUACGAAAGCGUGGGGAGCAAACAGG
This 253-nucleotide ribosomal RNA is filed under the name uncultured bacterium. RNAcentral's name for it is "partial 16S ribosomal RNA". It matches the Rfam family "Bacterial small subunit ribosomal RNA", at positions 524 to 776 of the family's 1533-position model. The record is from RNAcentral.